Molecule: ribosomal RNA, 465 nt
Filed under: uncultured bacterium
Lineage: Bacteria
Description: partial 16S ribosomal RNA
Rfam family: Bacterial small subunit ribosomal RNA
Source: RNAcentral
GACGAACGCUGGCGGCGUGCUUAACACAUGCAAGUCGAACGGAAAGGCCCUGCUUGCAGUGUACUCGAGUUGCGAACGGGUGAGUAACACGUGGGUGAUCUGCCCUCCACUUCGGGAUAAGCCUGUUAAACUGGGUCUAAUACCGGAUAGGACCUUCCAUGUAGUGUGGGGGUUGGUAAUAUUAAGCGGUUUUGGAUGAGCUCAAGGCUUAUCAGCUUGUUGGUUGGGUAAUGGCCUACCAAGGCGUCGACGGAUAGCCGGCAUGAGAGGGUGGACGGCCACAUUGGGACUGAGAUACGGCGCAGAAUCCUAUGGGAGGCAGCAGUGGGGAAUAUUGCACAAUGGGCGGAAGCCUUAUGCAGCGACGCCGCGUGGGGGAUGACGGCCUUCGGGUUGUAAACCUCUUUCGACAGGGACGAAGCUUCGGUGACGGUACCUGUAUAAGAAGCACCGGCUAACUACGUG